GUGCUCGAAAGAGAGCCAUAACACAGGUGCUGCAUGGCUGUCGUCAGCUCGUGUCGUGAGAUGUUGGGUUAAGUCCCGCAACGAGCGCAACCCUUGCCAUUAGUUGCUACGAAAGGGCACUCUAAUGGGACUGCCGGUGAUAAACCGGAGGAAGGUGGGGAUGACGUCAAGUCCUCAUGGCCCUUAUAGGUGGGGCUACACACGUCAUACAAUGGCUGGUACAAAGGGUUGCCAACCCGCGAGGGGGAGCUAAUCCCAUAAAACCAGUCGUAGUCCGGAUCGCAGUCUGCAACUCGACUGCGUGAAGUCGGAAUCGCUAGUAAUCGUGGAUCAGAAUGUCACGGUGAAUACGUUCCCGGGUCUUGUACACACCGCCCGUCACACCAUGGGAGCGGGUUCUGCCAGAAGUAGUUAGCCUAACCGCAAGGAGGGCGAUUACCACGGCAGGGUUCGUGACUGGGGUGAAGUCGUAACAAGGUAACCCAACCGGAAGAUGAGG
This 499-nucleotide ribosomal RNA is filed under the name uncultured bacterium. RNAcentral's name for it is "bacterial SSU rRNA". It matches the Rfam family "Bacterial small subunit ribosomal RNA", at positions 1012 to 1517 of the family's 1533-position model. The record is from RNAcentral.